CCGGAGUUGGCGAUGGACAGGAAGGCCUGGCGUGCUGCAAUUCACGGGUCGCAAAGAGUCGGACAUGACUGAGCGACUGAACUGAACUGACAAUUAAAACAAAGACUUUGACAAUAUUAAUAAUUAUACUGAAUAAAACGAGAAGAAAAAUACUAAUUAUUUCUAACCCUCAGACUGUAACUUUGUAUUAAUAAAAAAAAAUAAUACUGUGUGAUUGGUACAGAAAUGCUUCAUCAGAUUCAGAAUAAUAUUUUCCACAUCAUGUAAAACACCUUAUUUUACCAAGUAAGAAUGUGGGUACUAAUGGUUUCAAACAAUGCUUGAAAGAGCAAGAUCUCCAUCAAGUAGAAAGGAAAAUAAAAUAACUACAGAGUUCAAUUUCAUUCCAUUAAAUGGCCUUAAAUUAAAUUUCCCAUACAGGAAAAAGAUAAUUUUGAUGUGUGUAUUCAAAUACAGCAUACUACUCUUGAAAUACUGUGUGAUUAUUUCACAGAAAAUGAAAUUACAAUUAUGGUAGCAAAUACCUUAAGAUCUCAAUAUAAGCUCUUUGGCUUUGAAUGUGCUGGCUUUCAUCCAAAAGUUUUAAGUGAGAAAGUCACAUCGAUGUGAUUUUAAUCAUUCUUCAACAAACAAAGGAUCAUUUAUAAAAGUAAUGGUCAUAAAAACAAUUAACACCUAACAAAGGAAUGAAUUCUCAUGUUACAUGUGUUUCCCUGAACACACAUUUUCACACCAAAACAUUAAUAGAAAGGAAAAUAAAAUAACUACAGAGUUCAAUUUCAUUCCAUUAAAUGGCCUUAAAUUAAAUUUCCCAUACAGGAAAAAGAUAAUUUUGAUGUGUGUAUUCAAAUACAGCAUACUACUCUUGAAAUACUGUGUGAUUAUUUCACAGAAAAUGAAAUUACAAUUAUGGUAGCAAAUACCUUAAGAUCUCAAUAUAAGCUCUUUGGCUUUGAAUGUGCUGGCUUUCAUCCAAAAGUUUUAAGUGAGAAAGUCACAUCGAUGUGAUUUUAAUCAUUCUUCAACAAACAAAGGAUCAUUUAUAAAAGUAAUGGUCAUAAAACAAUUAACACCUAACAAAGGAAUGAAUUCUCAUGUUACAUGUGUUUCCCUGAACACACAUUUUCACACCAAAACAUUAAUAUGAGUGGGUUAUAUGAUUAAAACUCUCUUCUAAGCGAAUCUUUUACUUGUAUUUCUUAAUUAGAAAAUACAUGUGUCUUUCAGACACUUCUCCUCACCUGUACAAAGAACACUGGGAAGAAAACUUUGAACACCAGUUUUAAAACCCUCUGAAAUAUUUUAAAAGUAGGUCAUGCUUUCAUGAUUGAUAUGACUCUUAGCCAUGGAAAGUCCUCAAGUUGUCAGUGGACUUACAUUAGUAAUAUUUUAAAUUGUUAUUUUAAAAUCUCUGCAUUAAAAUUUUCAAAAUUCCUAAAAGUUUCUCGGUAGGUGUUUUUCAUUAGCAAGUAUCACUAAUUAAAAGACAAUCGGUUGAUUUCAAUGAAAAUUAGUCUCUCCUGGCUAAUUAGCAAAAAAAGCUUUCCUUCUGCUAGAGGAACUAGAUGUUUCUGGAUUGCAUUCAUUAUGGUAGAAAGUGAAAGCCUUUUGUUGGUGUACAAGUUAGGUAGCUCCCAAUUCAAAAUACAUUUUCUUUAAAAUUUAAUGUCACAAACAGAAGUUGGUUUUCUAAACUAGUCCACAAAAUUCUAUGCAAAUGAAAUUCAUCUUUAAAUGAAAUAAUGUUAUGUCAGUCUCAGGGCAGAAAAAUAUCAGAAAAUAAUUUCCUUUGCAAUACCCAUUCUAUCAUCAACACUCAACAUUAAACAAAAACAAAACACUAAUGGAAAUUAUGUAAGAAAUUUUUACUCCUCUUGGUGUUUGAAGCAAAAACAUAGUUUGGGCUGUUUUUAUAAAACAAACGAAUGAGAUGAUUUAAUAGCAAAAUUUAAUAGCAUACUUUGGGGAUGUAUCUUCAAGUCUGCUGCUAAGCUGCUAAGUUGCUUCAGUCGUGUCCGACUCUGUGCAACCCACAGACGGCGGCCCACCAGGCUCCCCGUCCCUGGGAUUCUCCAGGAAAGAACACUGGAGUGGGUUGCCAUUUCCUUUCCAAGUCUAGCUUCUGUUAACUCUAUUAUCUGUUCUAUAUAUUUAAUUUUUAGUGAAGCAUUCCUGGUUUCAAUACCCACUCUUUUCUUGCUAGUUGAUAAUACACUAGUAUUAUAUAGAAAAUUAUCAGUUUACAUUUAAUUAGCAAAAAAGCUUUCCUUCUGCUAGAGGAACUAGAUGUUUCUGGAUUGCAUUCAUUAUGGUAGAAAGUGAAAGCCUUUUGUUGGUGUACAAGUUAGGUAGCUCCCAAUUCAAAAUACAUUUUCUUUAAAAUUUAAUGUCACAAACAGAAGUUGGUUUUCUAAACUAGUCCACAAAAUUCUAUGCAAAUGAAAUUCAUCUUUAAAUGAAAUAAUGUUAUGUCAGUCUCAGGGCAGAAAAAUAUCAGAAAAUAAUUUCCUUUGCAAUACCCAUUCUAUCAUCAACACUCAACAUUAAACAAAAACAAAACACUAAUGGAAAUUAUGUAAGAAAUUUUUACUCCUCUUGGUGUUUGAAGCAAAAACAUAGUUUGGGCUGUU
This is a long non-coding RNA of Bos grunniens (domestic yak), 2630 nucleotides long. Lineage: Eukaryota; Metazoa; Chordata; Mammalia; Artiodactyla; Bovidae. The record is from Ensembl.